RNAcentral lists this ribosomal RNA (779 nucleotides) under Salmonella enterica subsp. enterica serovar Senftenberg. RNAcentral's name for it is "partial 23S ribosomal RNA". It matches the Rfam family "Bacterial large subunit ribosomal RNA", at positions 2164 to 2925 of the family's 2925-position model. The record is from RNAcentral. Lineage: Bacteria; Pseudomonadati; Pseudomonadota; Gammaproteobacteria; Enterobacterales; Enterobacteriaceae. RNAcentral also lists the same sequence under 2 other names.
GUGGACGCCAGUCUGCGUGGAGCCAACCUUGAAAUACCACCCUUUAAUGUUUGAUGUUCUAACGUGGACCCGUAAUCCGGGUUGCGGACAGUGUCUGGUGGGUAGUUUGACUGGGGCGGUCUCCUCCUAAAGAGUAACGGAGGAGCACGAAGGUUGGCUAAUCCUGGUCGGACAUCAGGAGGUUAGUGCAAUGGCAUAAGCCAGCUUGACUGCGAGCGUGACGGCGCGAGCAGGUGCGAAAGCAGGUCAUAGUGAUCCGGUGGUUCUGAAUGGAAGGGCCAUCGCUCAACGGAUAAAAGGUACUCCGGGGAUAACAGGCUGAUACCGCCCAAGAGUUCAUAUCGACGGCGGUGUUUGGCACCUCGAUGUCGGCUCAUCACAUCCUGGGGCUGAAGUAGGUCCCAAGGGUAUGGCUGUUCGCCAUUUAAAGUGGUACGCGAGCUGGGUUUAGAACGUCGUGAGACAGUUCGGUCCCUAUCUGCCGUGGGCGCUGGAGAACUGAGGGGGGCUGCUCCUAGUACGAGAGGACCGGAGUGGACGCAUCACUGGUGUUCGGGUUGUCAUGCCAAUGGCACUGCCCGGUAGCUAAAUGCGGAAGAGAUAAGUGCUGAAAGCAUCUAAGCACGAAACUUGCCCCGAGAUGAGUUCUCCCUGAGACUUAGAGUCUCCUGAAGGAACGUUGAAGACGACGACGUUGAUAGGCCGGGUGUGUAAGCGCAGCGAUGCGUUGAGCUAACCGGUACUAAUGAACCGUGAGGCUUAACCUUACAACGCCGAAG